RNAcentral lists this ribosomal RNA (464 nucleotides) under uncultured bacterium. Its description in RNAcentral is "partial 16S ribosomal RNA". It matches the Rfam family "Bacterial small subunit ribosomal RNA", at positions 28 to 506 of the family's 1533-position model. The record is from RNAcentral.
GACGAACGCUGGCGGCGUGCUUAACACAUGCAAGUCGAACGGAAAGGCCCUGCUUGCAGGGUACUCGAGUGGCGAACGGGUGAGUAACACGUGGGUGAUCUGCCCUGCACUUCGGGAUAAGCCUGGGAAACUGGGUCUAAUACCGGAUAGGAGCCAUUUUUAGUGUGAUGGUUGGAAAGUUUUUUCGGUGUAGGAUGAGCUCGCGGCCUAUCAGCUUGUUGGUGGGGUAAUGGCCUACCAAGGCGGCGACGGGUAGCCGGCCUGAGAGGGUGGACGGCCACAUUGGGACUGAGAUACGGCCCAGACUCCUACGGGAGGCAGCAGUGGGGAAUAUUGCACAAUGGGCGUAAGCCUGAUGCAGCGACGCCGCGUGGGGGAUGACGGCCUUCGGGUUGUAAACUCCUUUCGCUAGGGACGAAGCUUUUUGUGACGGUACCUAGAUAAGAAGCACCGGCUAACUACGU